RNAcentral lists this ribosomal RNA (253 nucleotides) under uncultured bacterium. Its description in RNAcentral is "partial 16S ribosomal RNA". It matches the Rfam family "Bacterial small subunit ribosomal RNA", at positions 524 to 776 of the family's 1533-position model. The record is from RNAcentral.
UGCAGAGGUGCCAAGCGUUAGGCGGAAUCACUGGGCUUAAAGCGCGUGUAGGUGGACGGGUAAGUAUCUUGUGAAAUCCCACGGCUCAACCGUGGAACUGCUGGAUAUACUGCUUGUCUUGAGGCACUUAGGGGCAGCUGGAACAAAUGGUGGAGCGGUGAAAUGCGUAGAUAUCAUUUGGAACGCCAAAGGCGAAAGCAGGCUGCUGGGAGUGAUCUGACACUGAGACGCGAAAGCCAGGGGAGCAAACGGG